CAGACUUCAGCCAGGACGUGGGAGGACAACUGGACCCUGAUCUUUACAGAGAUCCAAUGUUGGUCUCCUUGGGGGUCUCAGUUUUCCAAACCAGAUGUGACCCCCAUCUGGAACACGGAGAAGAGCCAUAAAAGGCUAGGGAACGCUUUCCUGUCCAGAUCUGGUGGUCAGAUCUGAAACCAAAGAUGAACUCAGCACAGAGGUUUUCCCGGGAAGAACCAGCCCUUAGAGUCGUGAUGAGUAAGAACACUUAGCAGGAUGGCCUCUGCUCCCUGAGACAGGAUAACCUCCGCCCAGUGACUUGACAAACUGCCCCAAGGCACCGCAAAAUCCAGAGAGGCAACGAUGACAUGUGCUGUCCCCCCCCCCAGGCCCUUCCCUGGAGCCCAGAGUCUGUCCCAGGCUGGAGUCCACAGGCCGAUCCCAGUCGCUGCUCUUAGAAGGAAAGAAGGAAGUGCGGGUCCAGACACCUCCGAAGCUCCAGGCUCUGGCUGCUUGAAGAGGGAGCCGAGUAGGAGAGGAUGGAGAUUCUGACUCAGAAGCCAAGAAACAGGGAACAGGCCCAGCAUGGGGAGGCAGCGGGUGCAAGAAGGGCAAGAAGUGACAAUUGAAGGCAAAGCCCAACUUAAGAACCCCCUUGGGAAGUCUGGGGUGGAGACUCAGUUUAUACCCCGCAGAAGGGAUAAGGGAAUCUGAGGCGCAGUCUGCCCCAGAGGAACCCAAAGGGGAGUCAGGCUCCCCAUGAACCUGGGCACGUGUUUCUCCUGUCUGUGCCAGGAGCCUCGGCCUCGGUUGUCGUGUGUGUUAAAUGGCCACCCUAAAUUCUAAAUUAAAUGUAAUCCGCUGGAAUAUGAACGUCUCCACUAGAACGUGGACCCCUUGAGAGCAAGGACUUUCUCUUUAAAAAUUGUGAUAAAAUACACAUAACAUAAAAUUUACCAUCUUAGCCAUUUUUAAGUGUGCAAUUCAGUGACAUUGCUUUGCAAGCUUCACCACCAUCCAUCUCCAGAAUUUUUUCAUCUCCUCAAACUGAAACUCUGUCCCCAUUCAACACCAACUCUCCAUUCCCCUCCCCCAAGCCCAGGCAUCCACCAUUCUACUUUCUGUCUCUAUGAAUUUGACUAUUCUGGGGACGUCACACAGAUGGAAUCAUGGAGUAUUUGUCUUUUUGUGACUGGCUUACUGCACUUGGCAUGAUGUCCUCAGGGUUCACCGUGUUGUUGCAUGUGUCAGCAUUUCCUUCCUUUUUAAGGCUGGAUUGUAGUCCACUGUGCGCACAGCCCACACUGUGUUUCUUCAUGGGUUCUGUCCACUGCUGUAUUGCACCCCUAGAACCUUGCUAGCACACGGGAGGGAUUCAAAUAAGCGUUGAGAGAACGACUUAAAUGAGAUAAGCCACGGAAAGCACUACUCUCAGGCACAUAGUAAGCCUUCUGAAAGUAUUAGCCGUUGGCAUGACUCGCCAUCUUCAUGGUAAUCUCAUCCGUGUAAACAUGACCCACAGGAAAGCGAGAGGUCUCGGCAGCGCCCAGAAACAGUUGUAUCUCUCACUGCCACCCCCGUGCAUACACAGAGUGAAGCAGCAGAAGUCACAAGUUAAGAGUUCAAUGUCCCCGGUGCUUCUGAGCUUGGCACUUAUAACCUGAAGUUCUACCAGCUUCUGCCUGAAGAGGUGCCUCCUGGAAGUAGGCUGGUCCCUACCAUCUUGGUGGCCUUUUCUGGAAGACUCAUUGUGGUGGGAGCCCCUGGCUAUGAGCUGCCCUCUGUCACCCUCCAUCGUUCUUAGGGACACCCACUUUCCUUAGAGAUGAGGAAGGCCCAGCCCAGCACUGCAGGAACGGCAGCCAGUGACAUGGUGGGAGGCGGCCAGCAAUGGCCCUCCUUGCUCCAGGGCUACACCUGCAGAAAACCUGGGGUUUAUAUAGGUCAUUUUUCAUACAGGAAGAGAGGGAAUCCCUUUCUACUUCCUCCUUGAACAAAUUCCAGGAGAUUCAGAUGAUGUGUCCUGAAGGUGAUGAGCUGGCAGCCCAAGGCCGUCUUGUCACGUUUCCGUGGUGCAGACGCAGGCCCCAAGAUGCUGCCGUUAUCUGAAGGCCUCUGCUCUACCACGAGAGAAGCCACAGGCUGGUGAGAGCCUGUCUAGGAGGCUGGCUGGGAGGGGGCACAGGAAAGAGGCUGCUGUGUCUUUCCACAGAAAGCUCGUGGACCUCUACCCGUCCGCGGGAGCCUCGUGGCCCAGAGUGGAUGGGGCUGCUCCGUCUUCUCCUGUCAGCUUUACACAGCUCAGCGCGGCAGCCUUUUGACAUGAAGUAAUAAUUGUCAGAGAGGGUCAGGCCUGCACCAGCCGAGAAAACAGCAGAGUGACCCUUGGAAGGAAAGCAGGUCCUGCCGAAUCCGUGCACAGCCCAUUAGCGGGUCAGAGGACCUUCCCCCGCUGACAUUUGCGUCGUCGCUGCCUCAUCAAGAAAUCUGACUUGGGGACAUCCUCUGGGCAGUCACCUUGAUGGGGGCCGUGUGCCCAGCCUCCUUCAGAGUGGUGCUCGGCAGAUGGUUUUAAACAUCAUAAUGAAAAAACAAUAGAAGGCGUUUCACGGUUAUUUUUACCUUAGUACAAAAGGAAUAAAUAAUCAGAGAAAUUUUGGAGAUUAUGAAAAAGCACAGAGAUGGAAUAAAUCGUUUACCCC
This 2684-nucleotide long non-coding RNA is filed under the name Equus caballus (horse). RNAcentral's name for it is "lncRNA (ENSECAG00000044534.1)". Lineage: Eukaryota; Metazoa; Chordata; Mammalia; Perissodactyla; Equidae. The record is from RNAcentral.